UUCUGGGAGCCAGGAGAAGGAGCAAAUAAAGCAGACUGCACAGAUGGAGCAUGGAAAGUCUUUUAACAGAAACGAAUACUUUCAGACCCGUUUUGAAGGACUGAGUAGGAGUAAACUAAAAGAGAAAAAGCAGGACAAAAGAAGCAGCACUUUGGAAGCUCAAAGCCGCACUGGAAACACAGCCUUUCAGGAUGUCUGAAAGAAAGGGGCAAGUCUGUUUGUGUGGGGUAAGAAAUGCGGGGAGACAAACGGACAGUGGACAGAUUGCAGAAGGCUCUAUGUGCUGAGACGAGGGUGCAGACCAGAGUUUUAAACCGAGAAUGCAACAGGGAAGGAUUUCAAGCUUGGAGUGAGAGGGAAGACUACGAGCGUGCAGUGAUAAGGCAAAGCUGAAGAUUCCAGAGCAAAGGCCACGCCCUACAGUUGCCAUGGAAUGGGGUGGCUCAGUGGGCUUUGGAGACUGCUUCCGAGAUUGGAUGAAGAGAAUCUAUUGACAACGCUGUGAAGAGAGGUAUUUGGAGCGUGUAGGGGGAGAAAGUGCUGAGCUUCUUGGUGAGUGUCCCUCCCAACAGAUGAAUAUUCAGCAGAGAAUGGAGAGCUUUCUACCGGAUAUUUGUGUUGUGAACAGUCUUGGAACAUAGAGACAGUGUUUCUGGAGCAAAGGCCAGGCAUGCUCACUGCCCAUUAUAAAGGAUUCGGGUUCCCUGAAUUCAAGAUUCCUCU
Molecule: non-coding RNA, 723 nt
Organism: Macaca mulatta (Rhesus monkey)
Lineage: Eukaryota; Metazoa; Chordata; Mammalia; Primates; Cercopithecidae
Source: RefSeq, a predicted model, not a curated record